UACGUAGGGUCCGAGCGUUGUCCGGAAUUAUUGGGCGUAAAGGGCUCGUAGGCGGUCUGUUGCGUCGGGAGUGAAAACUUACAGCUUAACUGUGAGCGUGCUUCCGAUACGGGCAGACUUGAGGUAUUCAGGGGAGAACGGAAUUCCUGGUGUAGCGGUGAAAUGCGCAGAUAUCAGGAGGAACACCGGUGGCGAAGGCGGAUCUCUGGGCCGUAACUGACGCUGAGGAGCGAAAGCAUGGGGAGCGAACAGG
This 253-nucleotide ribosomal RNA is filed under the name uncultured bacterium. Its description in RNAcentral is "partial 16S ribosomal RNA". It matches the Rfam family "Bacterial small subunit ribosomal RNA", at positions 524 to 776 of the family's 1533-position model. The record is from RNAcentral.